Molecule: ribosomal RNA, 373 nt
Filed under: uncultured organism
Description: bacterial SSU rRNA
Rfam family: Bacterial small subunit ribosomal RNA
Source: RNAcentral
CGUAGGGGGCUAGCGUUGUCCGGAAUCAUUGGGCGUAAAGAGCGUGUAGGCGGCCCGGUAAGUCCGCUGUGAAAGUCGGGGGCUCAACCCUCGAAUGCCGGUGGAUACUGUCGGGCUAGAGUGCGGAAGAGGCGAGUGGGAUUCCUGGUGUAGCGGUGAAAUGCGCAGAUAUCAGGAGGAACACCGAUUGCGAAGGCAGCUCGCUGGGACGUAACUGGCGCUGAGACGCGAAAGCGUGGGGAGCAAACAGGAUUAGAUACCCUGGUAGUCCACGCUGUAAACGAUGGGCACUAGGUGUGGGGGGUGUCGACUCCCUCCGUGCCGAAGCUAACGCAUUAAGUGCCCCGCCUGAGGAGUACGGCCGCAAGGCUAA